Molecule: ribosomal RNA, 468 nt
Filed under: uncultured bacterium
Lineage: Bacteria
Description: partial 16S ribosomal RNA
Rfam family: Bacterial small subunit ribosomal RNA
Source: RNAcentral
GACGAACGCUGGCGGCGUGCUUAACACAUGCAAGUCGAACGGAAAGGCCCUGCUUUUGUGGGGUGCUCGAGUGGCGAACGGGUGAGUAACACGUGAGUAACCUGCCCUUGACUUUGGGAUAACUUCAGGAAACUGGGGCUAAUACCGGAUAGGAGCUCCUGCUGCAUGGUGGGGGUUGGAAAGUUUCGGCGGUUGGGGAUGGACUCGCGGCUUAUCAGCUUGUUGGUGGGGUAGUGGCUUACCAAGGCUUUGACGGAUACCCGGCCUGAGAGGGAGACCGGCCACAUUGGGACUGAGAUACGGCCCAGACGCCUACGGGAGGCAGCAGUGGGGAAUAUUGCACAAUGGGCGGAAGCCUGAUGCAGCAACGCCGCGUUCGGGAUGACGGCCUUCGGGUUGUAAACCGCUUUCGCCUGUGACGAAGCGGGAGUGACGGUAAUGAAUAAAGAAGCACCGGCUAACUACGUG